Molecule: long non-coding RNA, 455 nt
Organism: Herpailurus yagouaroundi (jaguarundi)
Lineage: Eukaryota; Metazoa; Chordata; Mammalia; Carnivora; Felidae
Exons: 2
Source: RefSeq, a predicted model, not a curated record
UUAGAAAUUGCAAAAUCCAUAUAUAACCCCCAAGGUGACUGUAUUUGGGGAUAGGGUCACUAAGGUUAAAUAAAGUCACACGAGCCAAGUCCUAAUCCAACAUGGGUGGUGUUCUUAUCAGAAAAGGAAGAGACACCAGGAGUGCGUCACACAGACAAGAGGCCAUGAGAGGACACAGCCAGGAGCCACCGUCUGCGGGCCGAGAAGAAAGGUCUCAUCUGAAACCACCACCCCUACCCUUGCAAUUCCAGCUCCUAGAACAGUGAGAAAAUAAAUUUCUUCUGCCAAAGCCCCUCAAUCUGUGGCAGUGUAAGCCGACCAAUACAACAGGCAUAUGGGUGUUUAUCGUACUAUCCUUGCCACAUUUUGAGGUUUCCAAUUUUCCCAGCUGAGAAGUUGGGAACAUAAUGUACGCUGCCCCCAGGAAUAAAAACUUCUCCAAAAGGGAACCUGAA